This is a non-coding RNA of Paramuricea clavata, 2186 nucleotides long. The record is from the annotation of a GenBank genome assembly. Lineage: Eukaryota; Metazoa; Cnidaria; Anthozoa; Malacalcyonacea; Plexauridae.
GACGAGGAAAGGGGGUGCUUUGUGAUGAGUGAUUAGGAAAACAUAUGGGCGAGAACAUAAUAUGCCAACAAAAGAUCAUAUUUCAAAACGCUAUAGGGCUUCUGAGAUCAAAGUGGAAAUUGAAACAGAAAGUGAACAAACAUACGAACCUAUUUUGAACGUUGGAGAUGAAAAUAUCGAAGAAAGCGAGCGUCGCGAACAGUUUAUGAUCGAGGCAUAAGAGGACGAAGGGCGAAGACAUUUAUCGCAACUAGACGAUGCAACCGCAGAGGAUUUAUACAACUUUGAUGUGUCUGUUGCUCUAACGGAAAUACAGUUAGACGAAACAGACGCUGAAUUCACCGAAGCUAUACAAGAAAUUGAUGGCGAGAGGGGUUUUCCUUUUAGUCAGUGAGAGAUAGUGUGCAAGUCUAUAAAGUAAAGGGAGAGACAAAACUCGUGCUGCGUUGACUAUUAGAGGACGUGGUUUGAUUAUAUUACACCGAUUCAGGUCAGUUUGGCUACUGUUUCCUCUACUGAUGCUUUGUUCGAUGCUUUGCAUGGCCACUUUACACAACAUUCUGUCCAAGGAACAAUCAAGACAAACUUUUAGAAUGUUUUUAUAUGGCUUGAUUCCUCGUUUGUGUGAGCAGCUAUAAAAUUGUGAGAACUAUAAAGUAGCAAAUAUAUUCCUGAGCAUAUUUGAUCGGAUUUUUAUAAAACACUACACCAGCAAAAUGUCGGCAUUGUUGGAAAAUGCUGUGAUUUUUCGUGAAGUUCAACCCUCGAACUCUGCACAGAAACUGUACGGAAAAUAUAGUUAAACUUUAUUUAACAGUCGGAGCAUUUUCCUACACCAGAGACUUUAUUACUAUUAAAGAUGCGGCAUGUACAGUCCAAUCUGUGCAUGUGCACACAAGAGUCCCCUUUUUAUUUACAAACAGUUUAGUAAGGUUUUUAUUUCAUUUUAUGUUCUUGCAAAGCUUGAUUGUUGUCUCUUGAUAAUUUCUAGAAUCAUGAAAAUAUAACUAGUUGUGGAAUAAAAUUCAAUAUUUUGGAUACCGAAAUGUAAACAAAGCCUUUGUUUACAUACGGACUGUACCGCAUCUUUAAAGUAUAGCAUUAUUAAAUUAAUGAAAGGCAGUCAAAGAAAAGGCAUUGAGUGAUUGAGAAAGGGGAUGCGAUAACAUAUAAAACUUGAUAAACUUCUUAAUUGUUAAUGAUUGUCAGAAGUUCAGAACACUGUUUCCAUAAUUCAAUAAUUUUAUCAUAUAUUAUACAAUAAUAUUGUAUAUUUAAUUAAACCUUAUUGGCUGGUCGAAAUAGAAGUGAUUUGAUUAUGGUAAUCUGCCACCAUUCAGUACAGCCCUGCCCCACAGUAGGCGGAUCACACCACACUAAGGGGACGAUUACAUGGAGCACUUUUAACCACAGGUUUGAACUCGACCAUGUUUACAUAACUGGGUUGAAUAUUUUGCGAUUACAUGGACAAUCUCAACCCCAGGGUUGAAAUGCUAUACAUUCCCGGAAGUGAAAACAAAAACCAGCCUCAUCAAAUGCUUGAGUAACUCAUGAAUAAUUUCAGCCCUGGGUUGAAACGAUUACAUGAUAAAAUUUUCAACCCAAGGCGAAGUCCAACCUGGGGUUGAAAUUUAUAACUCUGCUAGCUGAAGCGGGGUUGAACUUGGCCCUGAAUUGAAAAUUUUGAAAUCGUGCAUUUGAUUUUGAUAGCAUUUUGUAUUACAGACAAGGGCGAGGGUUCAGCCCAGGCCUCGUAGUAGGUCCCAUCUGUAGGAGACAACCCCAGGGUUGAAAAUGCUCCAUGUAAUCAGCCCCUAAUUAACCCAUUAAAACUUUGAUGUACCCUGAUUUGACUUUAUUUCUGUUGAAUACCAGAUAAUAUAAUAUCAUGGCCUUUAAUUCACCAAUCUUGGUAUGAAAAUCGAGUGACCACAAAAAAUAUUUACAUGCAAUAUACCACUUUUGGAACAAAACAACUUAAACAAGCAUAGACCAUUUUCAUAUGAUAGUGAAAAACUUAAAGAUUUUUUUUGCAUUUUAAAUUGCUUUUUGAGCCUUGGACCUCCUAGGUUAUCUUGAAUUUCUUCUACUUUCCAUAUUUGCAUAUUAUCUAAAUCUGCCAUCAGUUUUAAUUUCAAUACUGGACACACCAGCCACCUCGCCAGCCACUGAACUAACGUGUGUAA